This 28-nucleotide small RNA is filed under the name Bombyx mori (domestic silkworm). RNAcentral describes it as "ovarian small RNA-22050". The record is from RNAcentral. Lineage: Eukaryota; Metazoa; Arthropoda; Insecta; Lepidoptera; Bombycidae.
UAGAGUUUUUUAAGGUAUUGAGGUAAUC